RNAcentral lists this long non-coding RNA (13773 nucleotides) under Marmota monax (woodchuck). The stretch from base 441 to 510 matches the Rfam family "tRNA". The record is from RNAcentral. Lineage: Eukaryota; Metazoa; Chordata; Mammalia; Rodentia; Sciuridae.
GCUUCUGCCUUUUGUAAUCCACCUGGAUGGCACCACUGGCUGGGUUUAAUCAUUAUUUGGUGUCCAGCUUCCUUUCAUAUACUAUGACUCUUCUGUGCUUUUACAAUGUUGUGUCUACUUGAUCCACAGCAGGUGAGCUCAAGUCCCUGAUGAUGGUUGUGGUUUUACUCUCUCCUUGCAAUCAUAUUAGUGUUUGUUAAGUAUGUUUCAAGAUUAUUUUGGUAGAUAGCAGCCAACUUUGGAUAGAAUGUUUCUUCUAUUAUUAUGUAGCAUUCCCUUUUAUCCUUGUUAAUAAUAUUUACUCUAAAUUAAUAUCACUAUGUAUGCUUUUGCUUUAGUAUCUCCAUGUUAUACCUCUUUCCAAUCUAUCUGUGCCAUUUUGUUUUAGAUGUGACUUUUAUGGACAGGACAACCCUGAUUAAAAAAAAUAUACAGGGGUUGGGGUUAUAGCUCAGUGGUAGAGUGCUCAUCUAGCAUGUGUGAGGCACUGGGUUCAAUCCAGUGACCACAAUAUUCGGAGAGACCAAGAGAAAUCUUUAUUGCAGCAGUGCAACAGAGGAGAAAAGAGAGAAAGAGAAGGAGAGACAGAGAGAGAGAGAGAGCGCAAAAGAGCAAGAGAGAGAGAGAGGGAGAGAGCAAGAGAGAGAGAGGCCCGGCAGGAGGGAGUUUUUAUAGCCCAAAUCUAAUGGGGUCUCUGGGUCUGCAAGCUGCCUUGUUGACACACAAGGGGGUUAAGUGUUCGGCCUUGAGCAGGGUGUUGAGUGUUCAGCCUUGAGCGGGGGCUUGGGCGUUUGGGCAAGACGGAGGGUUAGAGAAGCCAGGUCAUCCUGCAGCUAACUUUGUUUGGCGUGCCCUGCAGACAGCUUACUCAGCCUGUCCUGCACCUAACAGGUCCAAUCAAAAUUCUUUCCCAAUUUUUAAAAAUACAAACAGAAAAAAAGAGGGCUUAUAACAGACACUGUGACAGACGGCGUGAAUGCUGUCACAGUCAGCAGUAUUCCUCUAAUCCACAGUGGAAGAGGAGGAAGAAAACAGCAAAGGCUUCCAAAAGGUCAAAGGAUGAAUGCCACUCGGUACUUUCGCAAAAGUGACAGGGGCAAGAUUUGUGAUCAUUGUAAUCAUUGCUUUUCAAGGACUCCUGGCACUGGGAAUGGUCAAGAAAGACCAUGUAUUUUGUGCCUCCAUGGGAAGAAAGACCAAGAAAGAAACUUUGGAAUGGGAUUGGAGAAAAGUUUAUAAAGUCAGGGGAGGUGAAAUGGUCAAAUAGCGUUAUUCUUUGAAGUCCAUGAACGUGGUCUGUUUAGAACAAGUAAGGAAACAGGAAGUGCGCUCCGUGUGUGUGUGUGUGUGUGUGUGUGUGUGUUGGGGUGGGGGUGGGGUAAUUAAUGAAACAUGUCAACCUGAGACAGGCUGCUGCUAAAGUGUGAACUUCACAAUGCAGUUGGGAAAGUUCUGGAUGACAGGCAGGAUUUCAUAUCUGCUGUCUACCAAGUCUCCUGGUUCCCCAGGUGUGGUUGUUCAGGACCACGGUGCCCACCUGCUCCGUCAGGGGAGAGCUGGCCGGAGGCAGGGCAGCCUGCACCUGGUCUCCUGCUCCUGCAGGUCUCAGAGGAAGACAGAGGAGCAUCGCCCCAUGGCUCUUGCCUUGGCAGUGGGAGACAAAGGCUCAUCCCUUCCUCAUUUUGGGGACUGUGUAACAACUUUUAUCCUCAUCAGUUUUGUACUUUGUUUCCCAUGAAAAAGGGUGAGCAAAAGUUGUGGAACCCUAUGUAUCUUUCUCUUCUUUAAAUAAAUUUUAUUGUGCAUAUUUGAGAUUAGUGACAUGACAUUAUGGGAUCCAUAUAGAAAGCAAAAGGGUUCCUAUGGUGAAGCAGGUGAACAUCCCCAGCAUCUCACAGUUACUUUUUCAUGACAAGAAUAGCUGAAAUUAACUUAUUUAGCAAAACUCCCUAAUUCAACACAAUGCAUUAGCCUUACUCCUGUGUUGUGAUUGAGCUCUAGACUUUCCUCCUAUGUGUCUGCACUUUUGUAUCCUUUGACCCACAUCUCCCGUUUUCUCUCCUCCCUGCUGCUGGUGGUACCCACUGUUUGACACUCAUCUCUGAGUAUCUGAUCUCCUUUUUUUCUUUUCCAUUUCACAUAUAUGUGAAACAAUGCAGUUUUUUUUUUCAUUCUAUAUCUGGCUUAUCAAAAAGGAGGUAAUAAAUAUUAGCCAGACAUGGAGAAGGGGAGCUCUGUCUCACUCAGGAAUGUAAGUAGGUUGGUGCAGCCAUUAGGGUAAACAGAAGGUGGUUCCUAAAGAAAUCAAAAAUAGAACCAUUAUACAAUCCAGCAAUCCCUCUUCUGCUCUACACCCAAAGGAGAAGAAAUUACCACCUCGUGAAGAUAUCUGCACUCCUUUGUUUAUUGAAGUCUUAUUCACAGUAGCCAAGAUAUUCAAAUAACAUUGGUAUCCACUGGUGGGAAAGUGGAUAAAGGAAAUGUGCUAUGUGUAUACACUGGAAUAUUAUUCAAUCUUUAAAAAGAGGAGAUCCUAGCAUUUCCACCCCACGGAUGAUAGACAUUGUGCUAAGUGAAGUAAGUCAGACAGGGAACCUCAUUUUUUAAUGUCUCAAAACAAGUAAGUUUUAUCGUCUGGGGUGGUUCGAUAUGUUAACUAGAAGACUGAAGGGUGUAUCAGCUGGCUUCUCAGCGAGUCCCUUCUUGUCCAAAGAUCAUCAGAUACUAUGUACAUGUUCUGUGAUGGACAGUUGUGGCCAACAAGCCCUAGCCAAAUGCCCUAACAGAGAGCAUCUAAAGGUGCACCCUGAAGCUUUAGGUGUUAUUUCACAAGCUCGUGGUGACAGGUGACUGCUAUGUUCUGGACACAUCCUGGAGGCAAAGAAAAACAGAGUGGGACUGGCAUAGGAAGCUGUGAAGGAGUGCCGGGGCGGGUGUGGGGAGACACUGGCUCCAGUGCAUGUCAACAGGAAAGUAAUUAGGGUGAAGACAGGUGCCAGUGGAGCAGGCAGGCCUCAGGCCUGGCAGCCAGGCCAGGGCAAGGUGCCCAAGGUGCUCUGCAGUACCAGGUCUGAAUUCUGAGUCGAGGCAGUCAGACAGGGAUUAAUGUGGAGAGAGGGUGAGGAAGGAGGCCCUGGAAGAAAGCCAGGCAAAAGGAAGAGGAAGAAAUUUGCUUCUCUGGUUCUAGAGACCAGCUCCUAAAGAAAGGGAGAUGGGCCAGCAGGAGGAAGACCUUUGCAGCUCGCAAUAACAAGGCAGUGUGUGGGCUGAGGAUGACGCGUGUGCUUGAGCAAUCUGCCUUGGCAGUGGGAGCAGGAAGCUGCCCGGCUCCUCUGCAGCCCUGGCCACAAUUGUUGCCACACAAAGAGAGCUAAGAUAAUCUGUCCCUUGUCCCAGGAUUUCUGAGGUGUGCUGGGUACCUAUUAACAGGCAGGCAGACAAUUUGCUCAGUCUCCCUGCUGGGACACAGGACCCUGCUGAUGGUCUGUUGUACAGCCAUUGCAGAGGCUGAGUGACAUGCUCCUUUCCCAAGGUGGCCUUGCAUUGCCUCAUGUCCCUCUUCCCAUCACGUGUGUCCCUCAUGAACUUGAUGCAGAGGAGAAAAAAGAGAAACCCACAAUGGGCUUCCUCUUGGGAAUGGCCAGCAGUGCUGCCACCUCCUGAGACAUUCAGAGGUUGGGUAAUGGAGGCGGGUGGGCUGUUGGGUCCACUUCCUUGAGUCUGGACUGAAGCUUGCUCUCUCUGAAGCUCUGUUUUCUCAUCUGUAGAAUCGGGGGGAAGGAGGAGAGGGACUGGACUUGCAUGGUGUGAGGUACUUGCCACUUGCAGCAUCCUGUGACCUAAGGGACACUUAAUUCAGGUGUGGCAGUUUCCAAGUAGAAGAAUGAAGAUGUUUUGGAAACUUUCACGAAGGGACUGGGCCUUCCUGUGGGUUGAAGGCCGGGUGGUCCUACAGUCUGUCUUGAAGGCCAACCAAUCCACCUCUUUAAUUUCCAUUUUCUUAGCCCAAAUGAGCUUUUUUUGUGAGCAAGUUGGUGCUUCAGAGGCCAGAUUCACACCCCACGUGGGAGGUGUGAACAGGGGCAGGAGGGGAGUCCUGAUGGAUUCCUCCAGUGACCUAACUUCCCCAGUUCCCGUGACCCCCACAGGAUUUCAUCCACAGUUCUAAGCACAAGGUUUCAGGAGCAGCUCUGUUGUGCAAAGAAAACCGUAAGGAAGGACAUUUCCAGGGAUGGCUCAUGACUCAGAAGUCCUUUAGGAACAAGUAGGUAUCUGUAGAAGAUGGGAAGCCACUCAGACUAUUGUUUGGUAAUUUAUUUGAAAAUCACAUUUGUUCAUUAGAAAUUUGCUAGCAUACUUGAAACACUUAAUAAAUAUAAUCCAUGCUACAAUCAAAACUCAUAUCUAUUUUCUUUGCCUCUUAAAAAUUUUGUCAGUAGAGGUAUCUUCCCUGAUCUAGAAAGAAAGCGUAGCAGGUUGUUCUUCAGACUCCUCUGGUCACUUUCUUUUUUUCUUUUUUUUUAAAGAGAGAGAGAAAGAGAGACAGAGAGAGAGAAUUUUUUUUUUAAUAUUUAUUUUUUAGUUUUCGGUGGACACAACAUCCUUGUCUGUAUGUGGUGCUGAGGAUCAAACCCGGGCCGCACGCAUGCCAGGAGAGCGCGCUACCGCUUGAGCCACAUCCCCAGCCCGUCCUCUGGUCACUUUCAAUCACAGAGUCUGGGGGAUGGCUGUCUGGGGGCCAGCAAAGUCUUGAGCACCAAGUUCAGGGACUUGGACACGAGAGUCACCCACCAUGGCAGGAGCUGGCCCAGGCAGGAGGCGAAGCAGCCGCAGUGAUGGGGGCAGUGGGAGGAGCAGGAUGGGAUCUGUCACCAUGCCCUGCAGGGAGGUCCUGGGGUGGGAGUCCACCACGACUCUGGCAUGAGGCAAGAGGACCCUGAGGAGUGAUGGAUGCUGGUCUUCUUGAAAUUGUGGAAUGGGAUUCUUGUGGCAGGAUUAGAUUGGACUUAGAAAAAUUAACGACAGGGAAUUUCUAUCAGAAUAUUGUGGUGCAAUUUAUCUCCAUUGCAUGUGAUAAAGAUAUAAAUGUAUUAUUCUUAAGAGCAUUAUUUGGAAGGGGUACUCACAACAAAUGUAAAGCAAAACUUAUCUUGACAUCCUUUUAAGUAAAAUGAAACAUUUUACCCUUUAAAAAAAAACUGGACUUUUUCUUCCAUUAUAAAAUUGAAAAUGGCCUGGAAACGAAUUUCUGAUCACUUGUUGCAACAAUUUGUUGGUGAGACCAUUUUACAUUGAAGCACAAAGGAUAACUCAUGGCUCAAAUCAUACCUCAUUUUUCACUCACGGUGGCUGCUUUUCUUUUACUGCAUUGGAAUUUCUAAAGUGGUUUGUGAUCAGACACUUAAAAGGUCUUGGGACAAAUCUCCCCCAAAAUAUUGAAGAUCAUAACCUCACAGCUUCCCCCUGAGACCCCCUAAGUCCCCAACUGCUCUUGAAGCCUCAUUUGAGCCCUCUAGUUCAUGGGACACUGGCUUCUGCAGAGCCACCCACUUGUGCUUACCCACCACCAGAACAGUGAGCACAACCUGCUCGUGAUUUUAUAUUUACCUUUUAAAUAAAACAUGUACACAACUAAUAAUUCAAAAACAAUCAGUGAUUUUUCCAUUUCUCAAAAAGUGGUACACAAUGUAGAUAAAGAUUGGAAUUUACAAAUAUCUAGGCACUGCCAGAGGCAAUCUCAUAAAUCUUUGAUUAUUAUUGAUCUCACUUAUUUGUUCCCUAUAGUUAUGCUUCCAGAGGUCUUUGAGGUCACCUGUGUCUUUUUUUUUUUUUUUUUUUUUAAGAGUUAGAUGUCUUCCAGACUACACGUUGCCAAUGUCACUUCUGACUCAGAGUCUUGAAGUGGCUGGGUGGUUUUCGCCAGUUAUUUAUUUUCUGAUACCCCAGAUGGAUGGCUACUUCCUUCAGGCAGGGAUUGUCUUCUUCUUCCUAGUAGCUGUCCAGACCCCUGGCACGGCCUGCUGAAUAUUGUGGAGCUCAAUAAACACAUGUUUAUAUCCAUACCUCCCAGGGCAGACACACUACUCUUUCUUCUUCUAUCUUCUGUCUGUAUAAAACUCAUCUCUCAUGACUCCCCUCCUCACAAACCUGCCAGAGCUUCCCAUUUCCUAUGAAUUAAAUACAUACUCCUCCAGGAGCUAUUUAAGAUCCCUGGUUGCAGCCAAAACGUCCUGAUAAAGUCCCCCUUAUCCAUGGGAGAUCUGUUUCAAGAUCCCCAGAGGACGCCUGAAAUUACAGAUAGUGCCAAACCCUGUAUAUACUCGUUUUUUCCUAUUCAUAAAUACUAUAAAGUUUAAUUUAUAAAUUAGGCAAGUAAGAGCUUAACAAUAAUAAAACAGAGAAUUAUAACAGUAUACUAUAAUAAAAGUUAUGUGAUUAUGAUCUCUCUCUAAAUAUCUUACUGUACUAUUUUUAGCCUUCUUGUGAUGAUGUGAGAUGAUACAAUGGCUUCCAAUGAGAUGGAAGGCAGUGACCUUAAGCCACUCCAUAAGGUUACUUGAACAUAAGCUUCAUGGCACUGGGUUGAUCUGAUAGCCGAGAUGCUUAUUAUGUGACCAGUGGGCAGCUAGCUGGUGUGGAUAUGCUGGACAAUUUAAUGAUUCAUGUCACAAGAAGGAUAAAUCAGACAGUGUGCAAUUUAAAAUUUGUGCCACUUAAGUUUUAAGCAAAAUCAUGCAUAGGAGGGAGGACCUCAGUAUUCCCAAAUGAAUCUGAGGCUGCUCUGAUCCGAUUUCCUACUGGGUUUGUAGGUGGGCAUGCGCAGAGUCUGCACCUCUCAACGCAUUGCCAUGCAGUGAACUCAUCUGGAAACUGUGCACAGUUUUCCACCAUCAGGGCUGAGAGUGGCUCAGUGGUGGAAUGCUUGCUUAGCACAUAUAGAAGCCCUGUGUUUGAUCCCCAGCACUGAAAAAAAAAUUAUGUAAAUUUAAACAAAAUCUCUAGACCCUAUGUUAAACUUAACUCAGUAGAAUCUGUGGGGAGUGAGGCCCAGAUGUUCACAUUUUAAACCAGAAUCCCUGAUGAUGAUUCCUAUAACCACCAGUUGCCUCUGAGUUUGGGAUUGUUAGUCUGAUGCUGCAUUAAGCACUGUGGAGAAAUGAAGGUUUCUCUGGUUCAAUUAGACAGCUUCUGUACUUGAGAAGACACCUUCUUUUCUCCCCUAUUCUGGGGAUAGUUCUCCUAACCUUUGGCCCACAAGGCAAAAGGGGGGAAGGAAGUAGUUCUGGGUCCAACCAGGAAGCCAGAGUAGAAAAACCUGGCUCUCUUGGCCUCAGUCUUAUCUCUUCUUAUCUUGUUAUCUACUGGCUUUCUUUAUAGCAGAUACUAGAGGGGCAGAGCCCAAUCAAGGAGUUGCAAGGUAACAAAGAAUGAGAAACCUGGAAGGAGGAAGCAGGCGGAAUGCGGAGACCUUUAGCUAGUGGGGUGGGGACAGCACUAACUUUUCAGGGCUCAGUUUCCUCCUUGGGAACAAGGAACACUGAUGGGGUGAACCCUGACUUCCUGGACUGGGAAGAAGUAUCCACAGACAGCUUUUCUUAUGCAUCUUUUGGGUUGAUACUGAUGUAUAUGGCUUUUUUCCAAUUUCUAGAGCUUUGAAAUUUGUAGUUCUCUUACAAUCCAGACACUCUUUCAUCAUGUUUUCUCCUCCAUUUCUGUCUCUCUGUGGUUAUGACUCCAUCCGGCCUCGUGUUUAUUCCAAGGUGCACCAUGAUCAGGAAUGCUUCAGAGAUAAGCCUUCCCGCCCUGCUGAGGGUUUAGCUGUUCUCGCUCCUCUUGCUUUUAAAGGAGAGAGGCAGCAAAUCACUGCAGGAUGAUUCUUGAGAGAAAAAUAAUGUUAGGAGAAAAACCAUCUGCCUGGGGGUUUGGGGCUUGGAUGCUGCUUCAAGCAUUGAGGAGGAGGAGGAGGAGGAGGAGGAGGAGGAGGAGGAGGAGGAGGAAGAAAUGGUUCCCAGGUAGUUUUAAUACCACCAGGGAGGAAGAGGCUGGACCAUCCUGCUCACUGCUCCAGAAGGAUUUGGAGUGAAAUUGGUAGGAAAAUAGGUUUUAUUCACAGCCAGUUUUGAAGGAAGAGAGAAGAAACAACUAUUUUGAAGGUUCUGUCUCCAAAAUUCUUGAAGUUGAGCAGAACUUUUAAAGGAGAGGAGGUCAGAGAGAAGACAGGGCAGGGAGUGCGGGGGAGGCAAAUGUCAGGGAAGGGACACCUGCAGAUCCAGUUGACCUGUGUCACACAGGCCUGAGUGGGCAACCUCUGCUCCGUCUUCUUCGGGGCUGUCAGGGUAAGGGGUUGCAACCCAGCCCCAGCCUCCACUCUGAGCAUGAGGAAGCCAUUCCCAAUUUCAGAUGGAGGGGGGCAAGUUCAGUCUGCUUCAGGACCUAGACUUGAGGCUUCUUGAGUGUGAUUGAGAACCCCAUUUUUAUGAAAGGGCAAGGCUCCUGGGAGUCUUGGAUGUUGGAAAAUGUGACAGAAGAGAUUUUAAUAAAGCCAAAGCCAAAAUACCCAGGGCUGUGAAUUGAACUGCUGCAGCCGUAGGUCGCACCCUCCUCUUUGUUGCCCAAGGAAUGUGGGAACACUGACAGUCGUUUGCCUUCACCCAGGUGAGCCCUCUCUGAGACCAUGUGGAGACAUUUUCAGGCCUUGAGAACAAGGAGGUGAUACCUCUCAGAAGAAGAUUGGGUUAAAUCUUAUGAACACAUCUUGUUUCUUUCCUGGCUUUGGCUGCUAGGCAGCUGAAGGCUACAUUCCAGUUGAUCUCUGAUGGCUAAGUCCCUCUGCUACCAAUCAGUCCAGCCCUCAGCAUCACCAGCUCAGCCUUGGGUGCUUUUGCUCAAUUCAAGAUGGAAAUCAUGAAGAGGCAAGCGAUUCCAGAAGGCUUGGCUGAAUCGUAUGCUUAAGGGCAAAAGAGACAGCAAGUGAGUAAGGCUCCAGACUGGCUCCUGGAGGAAGCUGGGAGCAAAGCUCUAGGGCUGACAGGUGGCUGGCGCAGGUGUCCUGGCAGCGACUGAGCAGGGCUCCCCGCUUCUGCACACACAUGUUUUGCUCUGCUCCCAGGUCUGUGCUUGGUGGGUGAUCUGCUCCUGCGUGCUGAGCAUUUGUACUCUGUUUGCAAAGGACAGCAGAGGCGCUCCCCAUGGCCAGCCCAGGAGGUCAUCUGGCAUCAGAGCCCGGCAUUCUGCCCACGAGAGGCUGCAGGAAAGUCCUUUUGCAGGCACUGAAGGAAGCACAUCAUGGAAACAGGGCCUCCUGCUUAUCCUUAGAGGCAAAACGUGGUUGGGAAGUUUUCUCCUUGGUGACACUUUAGCGAGGCCCUUACAAUAUUCUUCUUUUCUAUGUUUUGAUUUGGCCCUGGCUUCACCUGCCCAGUCGGCCACCAUUUUCCUAGUCACGGGAUCUUCCUAACCAUUUCUUUGCUGCUGUUUUGCGUGUGUUUUUGAAAAUGGCCUCAAAUUGCUUUUGGAGCAAGGCAAGGCACGAACAAGGAGCCGAGGAUCACAUUCCACCGGGGACCUCAGCCCGGGAGAGCAGCGAGCAUCCUGGGGGCAGCACCGGAUCUGAAGCAGGCAGCCAGGCCUGCCUCUGAGCCUCCGAGGUUCCCACUUGUUAACCACCAUCUGGGACUCCACUUCCCCUCUGGGAUCCUCAGUGUCUUCAUCAGCAAAAUGACAAUAGCAGUGGUCACACUGAGCCUAGCUGUAAAGUGAGGGUGCUGGGAGGUGGCGGUGUCUGCAGCACCUCCUCAGGUGCUGGGUGCACAGUGCUGGCGCCCCACAGAGGACCUGGAUGGGUGUGCGAGUGCUUAGGGGGCUGUGAGCUGAGGAAAUGUGGGGACGAGGGGGGCAGUUUGCAUGUGCUGCCGACGCUGGACAGGAAAGACCUCCUGGAGGGAGGUAAGAGGAGGAGGUUGCUUUCUGAGCACAGUGGGGCCACCAUGAGAGGGGAGAGGACUUGGAAUGGGUCCAUCCAGUUGGACAAGAAAUGGCUAGAGGCCUCUCAAAGCCCUGGCACUGACAGUACAAGGACAGGCAGGACGUUGGGGUGUGUCUCAGUCCAGUCCAGGCUGCCCAUGUCUUGGAGUGACCCCAGAGGUGGUGAAAGGCACAUCUGCUCAACCAUGGGAAAGGGCUGGCUUGGCUGUGCCUGGGCCAGCUGCCCACUCUCCUGGACCCCCUGGCACCAACUCAGACCCUUCAAAACCACGACAAGAUGGCCUUCAAGGCAGUGGGAAAGCCCCUGGUAUCUGGUGGCACCACCGAAAUUGUUUAUCUGUUUAUGUGCCUUGUGGGUCACUGCCUGGUGUGCACAUCACAGGGGAAUAAAUGUGAGCGCGCGCACACACACACACACGUGCCCCACAUGUGCACACCUCUACCACAUGUUCCCAUGGAUACCUACGCCUGAGCACACAUGUGCCCCUGGACACACGUGAUUGCACCUGGGCGUGUAGCACCCACAGGCACACAGGCCGCGCACCCACACCUUCAGAGACAGCCCCUGGCUCUGCAGGCUGUGCUCCAACGGGAAGAAGGAAAUGCAGGUGAGCUGUGGUUCCCACUCAGGGGGGCGCCCGAGUAUGGGCCCACAAGAAAGCCAGCCUCCUGUUUACCCCUUCACUGGCCACGCAUAAGAGCCCCAUUAUGACCGAGCUGCUUUAUCUUGGUGACACUUAGUGACACUUGUUUUCUUUGGUUUGGCCCAGUAUGUGCUCUUGUCAUUGCCCUAUACCCAUUUAAAACUCCUCCUUUGUCCCAGCUUCCUUGGAGGGACAGUAUUUGUGUGGUUUUCGACUCUGCCUGCCAAGCCGCGACAGGCCUCCCCUCAACUGCUCAUUUGUUGAUGAGCAAGGCAGCGGGUCUGGGCCUUGAGCUCCCUGUGAACCAGGACUCGGGAGCAGGGAGGCUGGGGCGGCUUCUGGGUCCCCGAGGCCACACCUGCCUGGCUUCCCUUUGGGCCACAACACGGGCAACAGCUCAUUGCCCCCCUCUUUUUAAAAGGCGUUCCCUUUGGAUUCUGGGGUUCUUAAGACCCCUCCACACGGCCCACUGUGCCUGCAGCCCAGAGUAGCCUCCAUCCUCCGAGUCAGAAUGGAAGGCCAGCAGGAUGGCGUCUCCAGGGCUGGAGAGCGCGUCAUCUGGGCAGAUGCCUUGCCUGCGACCUGCUGGGUCCUGCUCAGGACUGGGCUCCUUCAUGUCUUCCCGCCAACCCUAGGGCAUGGUGAAGUGGGGGUGGCUGCAGCACCCAUGACCCCCGUGCCCCUCCAGCUGUUCUCACUCUACCAAGUGGCUCCCCGGGCUUGAAAGGCACACGUUCCUCUUGAAGGUGAAGAGAGGAGGGGGGCAGCGCAUCCCAACAUUCAGACCCCAAGAGAAGGCCAGCCCAGCUGGCAGCCAGGGCUGGAGGACAGCGAGCAGGGCCAGACGUGCUCAGGGUGGCCUUGCAGAAGGUGCGAAUAGCCCUGCCUUUCACCUGUGUGAGGGGAGAGGCUCUGGCAAUCACGACCUGGGAUGAGAGGCAGGAACCCCCACUGCUGGGGACACCUGGACGAGUGGCCUCUGGCUGAAGGCCGUGUGGCAGAGCUCAGUCUUCACACAGGCACGUUGGGUGGCCUGCACAGGGGAGGCUGUCCCCGGGCUGGGCUGAAGAGCAACAUAGCCCUUGCUGGCCACCCCCCGGCCCCUGCUGGGAAUGCUCCCAAAGUCUCUGUCACUCACCCCCAGCACGUUCACAGGCACCGCCAGGGCAAAGAGGUGCCAGUCUGUGGCAAAGCCGGAAAGCGAGGCCCUUCUCCACAAGGCCUGUUCUUGACUCUGAGCUUCUGCCCAAACUGCCCCUUUUUGUUUAGAUGUCUUCCAGUUUGUAAAAUGGUGGUGAUGAAAUGGGCUUUAAACAGCUCUUCAUUUGGAAAAGAAACAAAAAGGUAUCCUAUGCUGGUCUCCAAAACGAAAUUUAUUUGGGUUUUUCAGGUUCGUGGACUCUAGUUUGGAAACAGCAAAUCCACCUCGUGACCAAAGCAGGGAGCUCUGGUGAGCCUCUCAGGUCCUCCAAACUCCUGUGCCCAGUGUCCCUCCCUUUGUCUGCUCUGGCCCCUCGGCCCCCCACUAUGCCCCAGCCCCAGUGACUUCCAGGCCUGCUGUGCCAGGGCCAUCUGGAGCCAAGCCCUCUGUCCUCUGCUGCUCUGAUCCCACCGCAUGGCUGGUGAGGGACUCUCCUCACUUCAUUUCCCUCCUUGUCCACCAGCCACAGGAGAGAGCCUCAGUGCUGUCUCUGCUACACCCUAACCUUGGGUUUCCUCCUCCCAGGCCCACAGCCCCGGAGCCACUUGGCUCUGCCUUCUCCACCCUCAUCCUGGGUGCCCGAGCCUGGCUGCAGGAGACACCACCAUCAAGGGGCAUGGCCCCUCUAAUCUAUGGCCCAGUCCCAGCUGUCACCCUGCUACUUGUCAGUGCUUCAGUGAACCUUUGGUCAGGGCCCUGUCCUUCUCCUCCGAGGCUAAAUUCCCUGAAUGUGCAGGUUGAGGGUUUUGGGGUGGAGACGGCUGGCAGACCGUAAAAAGAAGGAGAGAGAUUUGGGGUCCGCAGUGUGUCAGAUAUUGCUGAAGCUGCGGGAGUAGAUGGAGUCCAGGUGGAGGAGGAGGAGAGGGAUGGGACAGAGCUGGGAAGACACUUGCUGUCCCCAGUGCCCACCUUCCUCCUGGGUUCCUCAUCACAUGUGGCAACCUCAGAGAUGGCAAUGACUGAGUCCAGACCUGGGGCCAUUCAUGGCCCCUUUGUCCUCCUGACAGCCACAUGGCCACUGGCUUAUGUUUCUGAUGACCAUUUCUGCCAUCUUUGCCAUCCCCUCCUUUCCCUGGGCCUCUAGCUCUGCUUUGUUCCUGGGGUGCAGGGGCCAAGCACAUUCGCCUGUGUGCCCUCAGAUGCAGGGCAAGCUGGCACAUAGAAAGGUUCUUUGCAAGUUUGCUUCCAGAGAUGCUCUCCACGCUGAGCCUGCAGGAGGCUUGCUGGUACGCGGGUUGCCAGGUCCCACUUCUCAACCUCAGGGUUUGCAGUUCUAACAGUUCUCAGGUGAUGCUGGUGGUCCACGGCCCACACUUUGGAACCAGGGCUUUAGUGCAUGGAAUGAAUGUAUGCUGAUACUGGAGGCAUGGUCUGAUCCAUUCCAGUUGUAUUAAUCUAGAUCCCUCAUACAGGGACCCCUGCGGCAGUUAGGGCACCCUAAUAUCUGUCUAUUCCACUGGCCUUCUGCUCAAUUCAGUCAGUUCUAACCCUGCAGUGGUUCUUAACGUGUCUCCAUGAACCACACUCCACCACCCCUACUACCAGAGAAUUAUGUGGCGUGUGUGUGUGUGUGUGUGUGUACAUGUGUAUGUGCGUGUGUAUGUGUGGUUCUGGGGAUUGAAUGCAGGGCCUUGCGCACGGCAGGGAAGCACUCUACCGUUGAGUUAAACCCCAACCCUUUAAAAGUUGUUUUAAAUUUUGAGGCAGGGUCUCACUAAAUUUCCCAGAUUGGCUUUGAACUUGUAAUCUUUCCACUUCAGCUUCCCAAGCAGCCAGAAUUACAGGCCUGUGCCCCGAUGCCUGGCUGUGCCGCCACAUUUUAGACAGGAGGACUGAGUCGACCUGGGUGUGCUUGGUUACAUUCUGAGUUGGCUUGUUGUUUCUGUCUUUCCAGAUGGUUAUGCAUAGUGGGGCAUUUUUGGAUAGGACAAGUAGGGAAAGAGU